RNAcentral lists this ribosomal RNA (443 nucleotides) under uncultured bacterium. RNAcentral describes it as "partial 16S ribosomal RNA". It matches the Rfam family "Bacterial small subunit ribosomal RNA", at positions 338 to 795 of the family's 1533-position model. The record is from RNAcentral.
CCUACGGGAGGCAGCAGUGGGGAAUAUUGGACAAUGGGGGGAACCCUGAUCCAGCGACGCCGCGUGAGUGAAGAAGGAUUUCGGUAUGUAAAGCUCUAUCAGCAGGGAAGAAAGAAAUGACGGUAAGUGACUAAGAAGCCCCGGCUAACUACGGGCCAGCAGCCGCGGUAAUACGUAGGGGGCAAGCGUUAGCCGGAUUUACGGGGUGUAAAGGGAGCGUAGACGGUGCAGAAAGUCUGAUGGGAAAGGUCGGGGCCCAACCCCGGGACUGCAUUGGAAACUGUUGAACUGGAGUACAGGAGCGGUCAGCGGAUUUCCUAGUGUCGCGGUGAAAUGCGUAGCUAUUAGGAGGAACACCAGUGGCGAAGGCGGCUUACUGGACUGUAACUGACGUUGAGGCUCGAAAGCGUGGGGAGCAAACAGGAUUAGAUACCCUAGUAGUC